GCAAAGGCUAUGAAGAGAGAUAGUAGUUAUUAUGAAGAUUUCAGAGAGAAGACGUAUGGUGCAAGUCUUUAUCGAAGUAAUAGUGAACCAGUCUCAGAGCUUUGAACCGAAAACAAUUUAUUUGCAAGUAGGCUUCAACGGAGGUCCACCGUUAAAAGGAAGAUAAUGAGUGCAGUUUACUGAAUUUAGGUGGUAACACGGAUAUGAUUAUUCGCCCUAAGC
Molecule: non-coding RNA, 222 nt
Filed under: Eubacterium sp.
Lineage: Bacteria; Bacillati; Bacillota; Clostridia; Eubacteriales; Eubacteriaceae
Description: T-box sequence
Rfam family: T-box leader
About the family: Uncharged tRNA acts as the effector for transcription antitermination of genes in the T-box leader family. T-boxes are found upstream of many aminoacyl-tRNA synthetase genes and some amino acid biosynthetic genes usually in Gram-positive bacteria.
Source: RNAcentral